UCUUCAUUUCGCCCACUCUCUCGCCCGCUGAACUGGCGAGAGAGUGUGUGAAAUGAAGAGA
This 61-nucleotide microRNA precursor is filed under the name Pristionchus pacificus. RNAcentral describes it as "mir-8364 microRNA precursor family". It matches the Rfam family "mir-8364 microRNA precursor family". The record is from Rfam by way of RNAcentral. Lineage: Eukaryota; Metazoa; Nematoda; Chromadorea; Rhabditida; Neodiplogasteridae.